CAAUAGCGUAUAUUAACGUUGUUGCAGUUAAAAAGCUCGUAGUUGGAUUUCUGGAGGGAGCGUCGGCCCGUAUUUACGAGUGCGUGACGUCUCUGUCCAUCCUUGCGGGAAGGCACGGCGUUGAUUUGUUGUGUCGGAUCGCAUCAUUUACUGUGAAAAAAUUAGAGUGUUCAAAGCAGGCUUUCGCUUGAAUACAUUAGCAUGGAAUAAUAAGAUAGGACUUUGGUGCUGUUUUGUUGGUUGAGCCUAAAGUAAUGAUUAAUAGGGAUAGUUGGGGGCACCUGUAUUGCGUUGUCAGAGGUGAAAUUCUUGGAUUUACGCAAGACAAACAGCUGCGAAAGCGUCUGCCAAGGAUGUUUUCAUUAA
RNAcentral lists this ribosomal RNA (366 nucleotides) under uncultured eukaryote. RNAcentral describes it as "partial 18S ribosomal RNA". It matches the Rfam family "Eukaryotic small subunit ribosomal RNA", at positions 592 to 976 of the family's 1831-position model. The record is from RNAcentral.